UAACGCUUGUCCGGGACAAGUGGAUUUUGUGAAGGGGCAAGUGAAAGAGAAUUGUACUUGCCUGACCAGACAAGUAAGCUGAUGAAAAUGUUAAUAACAAACAAUAACUAGGGCAUCACCGAAACUUUGAAGAGAAUGAUUCUGAUUGUAUUUCUUUCAGUGUAAACGGUGACUAAUAACAGAUAAUGUAUUGACAGUAUCAAGGUCACGUCAACUGAGGCUCGUUCAGUCUGUCAGACUCGCGGAGAAAUGUCCCAGGUGUUUGGUGACUACUACUACUUUUAAAAUGAAACGAUCAUUAUUUUUUUAAGGAAUAAACACACAACAUUUAUUCCAUGUUUUAAUUUCAAUAAUAAAUCUCUUUUGUUUACCCAAAAAUAAAGUAUUGUCAGCUUUAUUGUCAGUAAUUAAAAUAUAAAUGAAAUUAACGUUUUAUGCUAUCAUUAGAUAACCAGAAAUUUUUUAUAAACAUCAUUCAUGUUAAUAAAACAGCAAAAGAGAAAAACUUUCACUGCUCUUGAAUAAAUCACUUAUGCAACUUUAAAAUGAAGACAUUUAAUUUAUACAUAUAGUUAUAGUUUUGUACAUUUACUUUAUACAAUGUAUGCAGCAUUUAUUAUUUGUUCUACUGUUGUUUUUGUCCUAUUCUUUGUAAAUAAUUUAUUUAAUUGCUGUUGUCUUGUCUUCGGUAAGCUUUUUUAUUAUUAUUAUUUAUUUAGGCUAGUAUUAGCUUUUUGUGAUAUUGACAAUGGUGACCAACAAAAGCAUUAAAAUAACGUAUUUUUCGGACUAUAGGUCGCACUGGACUAUUAGUCGCAUUUAUUUCGAACCAAAGACCAAGAGAAAACAUUAACGUCUACAGCCGCGAGAGGGUCCUGACUAUCCUGAGGGUCCUGACUAUCCUGAGGGUCCUGAGUCGCAGGACCAGCCAAACUAUGAAAAAAAGUGUGACUUAUCGUCCGGAAAAUACGGUACCUGUUAUGUUUGGAGCCUUGCUCGCUUUACACUUUAAUGGUAUGCAAGUUCCUCAGUCAAAAUAGCUUCUUUCGUGUUAUAUUGAAGUAAGCAAGCCAUUCAGGUUUGGAACAACAUGACAAAGUAAAUGACAACAGCAUUUAAAUUUUUGGAAAAACGAUUCCUUUGAAAGUAUUUCAAUCUUGCUCAAAACCCAACCAACAUGGAGAUUAUACGCAACAUUAGUCUAAGCCAGUGAUUCUCAACCUUUUCGAUCUCCCAGCACCACACCCAGAACUACAGAUCUAGAAAUCACACUUUUCAAAUAAGGUUUAUUCAGUCUUUUCCAAAGACGGUAGUAUUUGACUUAUUUCAAAUCUUUUAGGUCAUCUUAAGGCCCCCCCAUUAAAGUUUCCUGAGGCCACCUAGUAGGUCCCGGACCCCUGGUUGAGAACCACUGUUCUAAACUAAGCAAAACAACUACUUAUUAGGAAUAAAACAGGCUCUUCUGAAUACAUUCUCAGUGGAUGUUGAACAUUUAUGUUCUGGGGGUUGUUUGUUUUGAGGAGGGUAAUGGAACAAAGCCUACGUACUACACAGUCUAACACUUCUGUGUGGCAACACAUGAUUGCGCAAGACAUACUGGAACAUCUGCCAGUCACAGCCUUGAAGAGUAAUAAGCAAAUCCAUAUCUAAUUUAAACACUAAAGCAAUGCACGCAUGGAAACUCGUGCUUCCAUCCAAGUGUAUAUCCAGUAAGUGGGCUGGGAGAGGGCCUUGCCCCAUUUUCCACCAAUCACAGAGCACCAGCAGAAAUGAGAGGCAUCUGCUGGUCACAUUGUGUUCACACACACACCUCUUCAAUCAGGUCACGAUGCCCAGUUUUCUGGGCACUCACAGCCAAAAUGUGUGCACAUGAAGCCACCUCGCAAACACCUCAAGAAAAAAGAAACAUGUUUCUCCUGCACUAAACCUCUACAGGGAUGCAAGAUGUGUGUGUUCACACUGCAGUCGUUGAUCCCUGACCCAUGUCUGCAGCUCAUCGAGCUCCCUCAGGACUCACAUCUCAAUAUCUCCUCCCUCGCUCAAUGAGAACACCUCAGAACAUGUUUGCUCGCUGUGAAUUCCUCCGCCACUGCAGAGCCGCGGGAGUCAACGACUCGCCUGCCGCAACACUGACAACAACAUCGGUGACUAAUUAAACCCACUCGGCGGGGAGAGACAGAACCGCAGCGCGCCGCUGCCGAGAGACAGAGCUGGAGUGAAUCAUCACACCUGCCGAGACAAAAACUACCGCCGUGUGUCAACAGCAUUUACUUUCCCGAGCCGCGUAAAGCAAUGGUGACAAACAGCGGAUUAAUCGGCUAACAAAGAACAGCAGAGGUCUCUAAUGCCAUUAUUACAGCACGCCACACACAUGCUGAUUAUUGCAACCAAUGCAACAUGAUGCUCAUUAAUAAAAUGUGAUCAUUUCAAAUUAGAUUCUGGCUUUUGAAUAUAGAUGUGUUUGAUUAAACGUGCAGUCGAGAAGGAUCAAAGGUUUGGACUCAGACUUAAUUAAGAUACAAUUAGUAUUAAUUGCACUUGGAUUAAAACCAGGGUGCAUAGUGUUUCGUCAGUGACAUGAUGCUUAACUAUGCAUUUAUUCCGAAUUAUAUUCCAAAUUCAAUUCACACAUACAAGCACUUCAAGCAUACUCUGUUUUAUGAUUAUUUUAAAUAUUUUUUUUUAAGGCAUAGAGACACAAAUGCACAGCUGCUUGAUGAAGAAAAAGCCUCAUUAAUUAAGUCAUGAAUAUUUUAAAGUAUUUUAAAGGAUAUGUAUUAUUUUAAUUAUGUUGAUGUAUUUUAGGCAGCACUUUACAAUAAGGUUCUAUUUGUCAUCAUUAAUUAACAAUCUAACAAAACAAAUAUUUCUAAAGCAUUUAUUAAUC
Molecule: long non-coding RNA, 2887 nt
Organism: Carassius auratus (goldfish)
Lineage: Eukaryota; Metazoa; Chordata; Actinopteri; Cypriniformes; Cyprinidae
Exons: 3
Source: RefSeq, a predicted model, not a curated record